Molecule: long non-coding RNA, 238 nt
Organism: Oncorhynchus keta (chum salmon)
Lineage: Eukaryota; Metazoa; Chordata; Actinopteri; Salmoniformes; Salmonidae
Exons: 3
Source: RefSeq, a predicted model, not a curated record
GCAGCAACAAUAAUAAUAAUAAUAAUAAUAAUAAUAAUAAUAAGUCACUGUUUGUUAAGGUAGUUCUAGACAGUACAGCAACAAUAAUAAUAAUAAUAAUAAUAAUAAGUCACUGUUUGUUAAGGUAGUUCUAGACAGUACAGCAACAAUAAUAAUAAUAAUAAUAAUAAUAAGUCACUGUUUGUUAAGGUAGUUAUAGACAGUGCAGCAACAAUAAUAAUAAUAAUAAUAAUAAUAA